UGGGGAAUUUUGGACAAUGGGCGAAAGCCUGAUCCAGCAAUGCCGCGUGUGUGAAGAAGGCCUUCGGGUUGUAAAGCACUUUUGUCCGGAAAGAAAUCCUUGGCUCUAAUACAGUCGGGGGAUGACGGUACCGGAAGAAUAAGCACCGGCUAACUACGUGCCAGCAGCCGCGGUAAUACGUAGGGUGCAAGCGUUAAUCGGAAUUACUGGGCGUAAAGCGUGCGCAGGCGGUUUGCUAAGACCGAUGUGAAAUCCCCGGGCUCAACCUGGGAACUGCAUUGGUGACUGGCAGGCUAGAGUAUGGCAGAGGGGGGUAGAAUUCCACGUGUAGCAGUGAAAUGCGUAGAGAUGUGGAGGAAUACCGAUGGCGAAGGCAGCCCCCUGGGCCAAUACUGACGCUCAUGCACGAAAGCGUGGGGAGCAAACAGGAUUAGAUACCCUGGUAGUCCACGCCCUAAACGAUGUCAACUAGUUGUUGGGAUCAUUCCUUAGUAACGUAGCUAACGCGUGAAGUUGACCGCCUGGGGAGUAC
This 532-nucleotide ribosomal RNA is filed under the name uncultured bacterium. RNAcentral's name for it is "partial 16S ribosomal RNA". It matches the Rfam family "Bacterial small subunit ribosomal RNA", at positions 355 to 883 of the family's 1533-position model. The record is from RNAcentral.